GUGUCAGCAGCCGCGGUAAUACGGAGGAUGCAAGCGUUAUCCGGAUUUAUUGGGUUUGAAGGGUGCGUAGGCGGGAUAAUAAGUCAGAGGUGAAAUCUCCCGGCUUAACCGGGAAACUGUCUUUGAUACUGUUAUUCUUGAGUAUAGUUGAGGUGGGCGGAAUGUGUAAUGUAGCGGUGAAAUGCAUAGAUAUUACACAGAACACCGAUUGCGAAGGCAGCUCACUAAACUAAAACUGACGCUGAGGCACGAAAGCGUGGGUAGCGAACAGGAUUAGAUACCCUGGUAGUCCACGCCGUAAACGAUGAAUACUCGAUGUGUGCGACACAUUGUACGCGUCUGAGCGAAAGCAUUAAGUAUUCCACCUGGGGAGUACGACCGCAAGGUUGAAACUCAAAUGAAUUGACGGGG
This 411-nucleotide ribosomal RNA is filed under the name uncultured prokaryote. RNAcentral describes it as "bacterial SSU rRNA". It matches the Rfam family "Bacterial small subunit ribosomal RNA", at positions 505 to 918 of the family's 1533-position model. The record is from RNAcentral.